RNAcentral lists this long non-coding RNA (273 nucleotides) under Vigna radiata. RNAcentral describes it as "long non-coding RNA (VRAD_LNC017830)". The record is from RNAcentral. Lineage: Eukaryota; Viridiplantae; Streptophyta; Magnoliopsida; Fabales; Fabaceae.
AAACACCCUUUCUUUUUUCUUCUCUUUUCUCCACAUUUUUGUUUUCUCACUUCUCUUUCUUUUUUUUUUUUUACAAUGACAAAACUAGGGGUUUGCGAAUAUGUUUUUUGUUUUAGGGGAUUUGAAGACAUGAAUUGAUUUUUUUCAUGUUCUGACAUGCUUGUAUCAGAUUUUGUUCAUUUUAUUUAAACAAUUUGAGUAUACAUUAUUUGAACAAACUCUUUUUGAUAUUUUUGAAUUUGGGAAUUUAUGUUACAGAUUAAACUAUUAAUU